RNAcentral lists this ribosomal RNA (566 nucleotides) under Ciborinia foliicola. RNAcentral describes it as "SSU rRNA". It matches the Rfam family "Eukaryotic small subunit ribosomal RNA", at positions 559 to 1129 of the family's 1831-position model. The record is from RNAcentral. Lineage: Eukaryota; Fungi; Ascomycota; Leotiomycetes; Helotiales; Sclerotiniaceae.
GUCUGGUGCCAGCAGCCGCGGUAAUUCCAGCUCCAAUAGCGUAUAUUAAAGUUGUUGCAGUUAAAAAGCUCGUAGUUGAACCUUGGGCCUGGUUGGUCGGUCCGCCUCACCGCGUGCACUGGUCCGACCGGGUCUUUCCUUCUGGGGAGCCACAUGCCCUUCACUGGGUGUGUUGGGGAACCAGGACUUUUACUUUGAAAAAAUUAGAGUGUUCAAAGCAGGCCUAUGCUCGAACACAUUAGCAUGGAAUAAUAGAAUAGGACGUGUGGUUCUAUUUUGUUGGUUUCUAGGACCGCCGUAAUGAUUAAUAGGGAUAGUCGGGGGCAUCAGUAUUCAAUUGUCAGAGGUGAAAUUCUUGGAUUUAUUGAAGACUAACUACUGCGAAAGCAUUUGCCAAGAAUGUUUUCAUUAAUCAGUGAACGAAAGUUAGGGGAUCGAAGACGAUCAGAUACCGUCGUAGUCUUAACCAUAAACUAUGCCGACUAGGGAUCGGGCGAUGUUAUCUUUUUGACUCGCUCGGCACCUCACGAGAAAUCAAAGUCUUUGGGUUCUGGGGGGAGUAUGGU